This 159-nucleotide microRNA precursor is filed under the name Pelobates cultripes (western spadefoot toad). Lineage: Eukaryota; Metazoa; Chordata; Amphibia; Anura; Pelobatidae. The record is from RNAcentral.
GCUGACACAUCCCGGCCAAUCUCCAGCAGACCCUCCCUCCCAGACCCUCCUACUUCCUGGACAGCAUCCAUGUUGAAGCUGCCUUCAACAUGGAUGCUGUCCAGGAAGUAGGAGGGUCUGGGAGGGAGGGUCUGUUGGAGAUUGGCCGGGAUGUGUCAG